RNAcentral lists this ribosomal RNA (250 nucleotides) under uncultured bacterium. RNAcentral describes it as "partial 16S ribosomal RNA". It matches the Rfam family "Bacterial small subunit ribosomal RNA", at positions 505 to 755 of the family's 1533-position model. The record is from RNAcentral.
GUGCCAGCAGCCGCGGUAAUACGUAGGGGGCGAGCGUUGUCCGGAAUUACUGGGCGUAAAGGGUACGCAGGCGGUUUGAUAAGUCAGGUGUAAAAGGCAUUGGCUCAACCAAUGUAAGCAUUUGAAACUGUCAGACUUGAGUAUAGGAGAGGUAAGUGGAAUUCCUAGUGUAGCGGUGAAAUGCGUAGAUAUUAGGAGGAACACCAGUGGCGAAGGCGACUUACUGGACUAAAACUGACGCUGAGGUACG